CGGAUUAGUCUUAAAUAGUUAAGUAUUUCACUUACGCUGAAAUAGUAUGUUGUGCAAAUCAAUAUAAUCUGA
RNAcentral lists this transfer RNA (72 nucleotides) under Blattella parilis. Its description in RNAcentral is "tRNA-Val". The record is from RNAcentral. Lineage: Eukaryota; Metazoa; Arthropoda; Insecta; Blattodea; Blattellidae.